GGAUCCCUGGGAAGGGACUGAGGAAGAAGAGGGGAUUUGGCCAGGAGCAGAGGGUAGGAGACGGACCACCCUGGAAACAUGGCAUGGAACUGGAAGCUGCAAGCAUCCUCAGCUGACAACUGCACCUCCGCGAAUGGCUGGGUCUCUGUAGUAAAACUGCGUGCGGUGGGAGGCCAUUGUGAUUGUGAUAGACCCGGGAAACCUGGUCUGACGCCCUUUUAAACUGCAGUUGGAGGAGGCUGACGAAGUAAAAAAGUUGACGUUGCCAGCUAACUAUGCGACCCUUUUGAUGUCUGUUGUCAGCCCCCCAGAACCUCUUCUUUGAGAAACUUCUGCAGUUCCUGGCCAAGGAGGUACCUACUGCCAGCGACUACUACCAAGAACAAGCAGCUCCAAAACUGGAUGGUGGGCAGAGAGAUUUUCAUCUGCUCGCCGUUAUCUCCUCGAUUUGACGAGCAGCUCCCUGGGUUUCCUCGUGGUUUGUUUCACAGGAUUCAGUGAACGUGUUCCAAGCAGCAGAGGGUCCUGGCAGUCCGACCCUGUGGGGAAUCCCCAGACUGACAUGGGGCCUCAGUAAAGGGAGUUUUUGAGAUAAGGUGGGGGUAUAGAGAAUGUACUGUGGGACAGCACCAGAAUGAAAAGGAAGUAAACCCAGGCAUAGACAUUGGGUGUUCAAUUCGGGGAGAGGUUCAGCAGCCCCAAAAUGAGGCAGCUGGAAGACUGGAGGCCUGAGCCCAGUAGGAGGAGGCGGAGGUGUGACCUGCCUAGUGUGGAGGUGACACUUCUUUCCUACAAUCCCACCUUCCACCCUCCCCGCUUCCUGUUGGCCUCUGUAGGCAUGACUUCCUUACGGGCUGGGGGCUGCCGACUGGUCUUUCACUCCAGCCCCAGACUUAAGGUGUGGCUGUACACAGGCACCCAACGACGGGCAUUUAGGAGUUCAGUGGGUGUCUCCUUUGGCUGGGGGCUGCUGAAUGCAGAAGUGGUGGCUCAAGUUCAUCAUAUCUGGCCACAGGUAGGCCAAGUAAAAAAAGAUGGGGAGGGUGACCAAAUGUUCCUAUAACACCAGGCCAGUGACCUCCAGUGGCAAGAGACAGGAAACAGCCAUCUUUACAUCUUCUUAUGCUUCAAAGUACAGCUGACGCAGCACAGCACUCCACACCCCACCAGGAUGUCUAGUGACUUUUUUUGGUUUUUGUUUUGGUGUUCAUUUGUUUGUUUUGAGACAGGGUCUCACUAUGUAGUCCUGGCCAACCUGAAACUUACUAUGUGGAUCCAACUGCCUCUGUCUUCCCAGUAUGUGCCACCACAUUUGGCCAUAUAGUGACUCUUUUUUAAAGUUACAUAUUUAUUGUUAAUUUUAUGUGCAUUGGUGUUGUCUGUGUGUAUCUCUGAGGCUGUUGGCUCCUUUGCAGCUGGAGUUACAGAUAGUGGUGAGCUGCCAUGUGGGUGCUGGGAAUUGAACCAGGGUCCUCUGGAAGAGCAACAAGUGCUCUUAAUUGCUGAGCCAUCUUUCCAGUCCUACAUCUAGUUGACUCUUAACAUGUACUACAUGACACCAAUCUUUGCCCUUUUGGCUUCUGGUUUCAUUUGAUUAUGAAUAACUGUUGUUGUGGGUUGGUUCUAAUGCUAUUUGUGUUCAUUUGACUCUCAAAAUCCCACAGGAUCCUGCUCAUCUACACUGAGGGUCCCUGACCCCAGUUGGCUCCGAUUGGGAAAUAAAGUUGCCAGUGGCCAAUGGCUUGGCAGGGGACAGAGGUGGGACUUUCAGGAUUCCAGAGCAAGAAAUGCAGAGGAAAGAGGAAGAGAGGAUUCAGCCACGACAAGGGUAUAGGAGACAGAUCACACAGGGAAGGUGGAGGAGGGAGAGAUGGGCAAGAUGUACAUGCAAAGGGAAAAGUGGUCCCAGGGCUGCCCAGAAGGGUUCAGAGCAGCAAAGACAAAUUUAGUAAGUAUUACCUUGUAAUAUCAGAGGGUCUGUGUUAACCAUGUGGAGGUUCAAGAGUGACCCAGCCACUGUGGUAGUUAAGGCAUAUUAAAAUACAAAGGUUGAGGGCUGGAGAGAUGGAUCAGCAGCUAAUAGCACUAACUGCUCUUUCAGAAGUCCUGCGUUCAAAUCCCAGCAACCACAUGGUGGCUCACAACCAUCUGUAAAGGGAUCUGAUGCCUUCUAGUUGUCGGAAGACAGCUACAGUAUACUCAUAUACAUAAAAUAAAUAAAAUCUUUUUUAAAAAAUA
Molecule: long non-coding RNA, 2238 nt
Filed under: Mus musculus (house mouse)
Lineage: Eukaryota; Metazoa; Chordata; Mammalia; Rodentia; Muridae
Description: predicted gene 16008, transcript variant 1 (Gm16008)
Source: RNAcentral